CAAGUCUUGACAUCCCUCUGAAACCUCUAGAGAUAGAGGCGGCCUUCGGGACAGAGGUGACAGGUGCUGCAUGGCUGUCGUCAGCUCGUGUCGUGAGAUGUUGGGUUAGGUCCCGCGACGAGCGCAACCCUUGUCCUUAGUUACCAGCACGUAAUGGUGGGCACUCUAAGGAGACUGCCGGUGACAAACCGGAGGAAGGUGGGGAUGACGUCAAGUCCUCAUGGCCCUUAUGUGUAGGGCUUCACACGUCAUACAAUGGUACAUACAGAGGGCCGCCAACCCGCGAGGGGGAGCUAAUCCCAGAAAGUGUAUCGUAGUCCGGAUCGCAGUCUGCAACUCGACUGCGUGAAGUUGGAAUCGCUAGUAAUCGCGGAUCAGCAUGUCGCGGUGUAUACGUUCCC
RNAcentral lists this ribosomal RNA (401 nucleotides) under uncultured bacterium. RNAcentral's name for it is "bacterial SSU rRNA". It matches the Rfam family "Bacterial small subunit ribosomal RNA", at positions 975 to 1375 of the family's 1533-position model. The record is from RNAcentral.